This 309-nucleotide long non-coding RNA is filed under the name Manihot esculenta (cassava). RNAcentral describes it as "long non-coding RNA (MESC_LNC007926)". The record is from RNAcentral. Lineage: Eukaryota; Viridiplantae; Streptophyta; Magnoliopsida; Malpighiales; Euphorbiaceae.
UGAUAAUCUGUCUACAAUAUGAAAAAAGAGAUGCUUUAUAUAACCUAAAUAAAGACCCAUGAUCUUUGCCACUUCCCACUACUAUGCAUGGACCCAUGAUCUAUGCCACUAUCCACUACUGGAUAACUACCCACUACUGGUUAACUAUCCACUACUGGAUAACUACCCACUACUGGUUAACUACCCACUACUGGUUAACUACCAACUGCUAAAUAACUACCCACUACUAAAUAACUACCCACUAUUAAAUAACUACCCACUAUAAAUACAAAGUUUGAACUGUCAAUAAGAACACAUUCGGCCUAAUUG